GGAAGCCUCCGCACAAUCAAGCCUUUCCUCGGCCGGGACCCUCCGCUUCCAGGCCCGGCCGCCCCACCCCCACGCGCCCUCGGGCUGCCGCCGGCCGGCAGUUCUUAGGAGCGCGGACAGAGGGGUCGGCCGGCCUUCCCACCCCCUUCCGCCCGCGCCCCCUUCCUUCCUCUCUGUUCUGUUCCGCUUUCUGGGCUGGGACGCGGAUGCAGAGGGGAGGGGAGACCCCAGAAGGGCCGGGCAUAUAACUCCUUGGCCUGCAAAGGGGAGCCUGGUCCUCUUGGAAGAAGCACUGUCCUUUCUCGAGGGCUCAUGGGGUGGGCCGGCUGAGUUCCUCGCCUCCUCCGUCUAGGGACCAAGGAUUACACAGCAGACUUGCAAAGCAGUUUCAGAGACUGAACUGCCCUCUGGUCCACGCAGCAGACCGGAGCUCUCCUUCGCUUCGUGGCUAACCUCCUUCAAGGGCGCGUGCACUCCCUACCACCAGCUGCCCAUCACCCUCAGGCCUCCGCUCGCUCUGGACACGGUGCUGAGCCACUCCAGCAAAGGCAAUCGUUGGCCUCUUGAAAGCUAAAUCUUAAGUGCGUUUUCCAGCUCUCAUUUUACUUGAUCUCUAUAGCAUCUGACAUCUUAACACUCCAUCAUUUAUUAAUUUAAAAUUUUAUUGUGAAAUAUUGUAGACAUGCCAAAGGUAUGGAAAACAAUAUAGCAAACAUACCUGUUGCAUCCGUCAAGGUUCUGCAGAGAAACAGAACUAAUAGGAUAUUCAUUCAUGCAUUCAUUUACUGACUUAUUAUAAGGAGCUGGCUCAGGCAGUUAACGACAGCUAGUUCCAAGUUCUGCCGAGGGAGCUGGCAGCCUGCAGACCCAGGAAAGCCAACGGUUUAGUUCCAGUCUGAGUCUGAAGGCCUGAGAACCAGGUGAGCUGAUGGGAUAAUUCUGGUCUGAAGGCCAGCAGGCUUGAGACCCAGGCAGAAGCUGAUGUCCCAGUUUGAAGGCAGCCAGGCAGGAGGGAUGCUUUCUUAUUCGGGGGAGGGGGGAUCAGCCCCUUUGUUCUAUCCAGGUCUUCAGCUGAUUGGACAAGGCCCACCCACAUUAGGGAGGGCAAUUUGGUUUACUCAGUCUACUAAUUUAAAUGUUAAUCUCAUCCAAAAACCACCCAGAAUAAUUUUGGCCAAAUAUCUGGGCACCCUGUGGCCCAGUCAAGUUGACACAUAAAUUUAACCAUCAUACCUGUGAACACCAUACAGUGUAAGAAAUAAAGCAGUGCGAGAGCAUAGCUUAAGCUCCUCCCCUCUUGAAUUUCUCUCUCCCCACAGAGGGGAUACUAUUCUGCACUUGGCAUUAACCAUUCCCAUACAUCUCUUUAUGCUUUUACUAUGUUAUAUACUAUACAUGCAUAGACUAUUUUAACUAUACGUAUGAAAUCAUACUGUGUGUGUUCUUCUGCAGCUUUCUUUUU
This is a long non-coding RNA of Balaenoptera acutorostrata (minke whale), 1462 nucleotides long. RefSeq lists it as uncharacterized. The record is from RefSeq and is a predicted model, not a curated record. NCBI's taxonomy places the organism in Eukaryota, Metazoa, Chordata, Mammalia, Artiodactyla, Balaenopteridae. The transcript is spliced from 3 exons.